GCCGGUUUCGCUUAGUGGUAAAGCAGCUGACUCGUAACCAGCAGCCAUGAGUUCGAUCCUCAUAAUCGGCACCA
RNAcentral lists this transfer RNA (74 nucleotides) under Mycoplasmopsis mucosicanis. RNAcentral's name for it is "Mycoplasma mucosicanis tRNA-Thr". It matches the Rfam family "tRNA". Rfam says of the family: Transfer RNA (tRNA) molecules are approximately 80 nucleotides in length. Their secondary structure includes four short double-helical elements and three loops (D, anti-codon, and T loops). Further hydrogen bonds mediate the characteristic L-shaped molecular structure. tRNAs have two regions of fundamental functional importance: the anti-codon, which is responsible for specific mRNA codon recognition, and the 3' end, to which the tRNAs corresponding amino acid is attached (by aminoacyl-tRNA synthetases). tRNAs cope with the degeneracy of the genetic code in two manners: having more than one tRNA (with a specific anti-codon) for a particular amino acid; and 'wobble' base-pairing, i.e. permitting non-standard base-pairing at the 3rd anti-codon position. Lineage: Bacteria; Bacillati; Mycoplasmatota; Mycoplasmoidales; Metamycoplasmataceae. The record is from RNAcentral.